UAAGAUGAGAGUUUGAUCCUGGCUCAGGACGAACGCUGGCGGCGUGCCUAAUACAUGCAAGUCGAACGAGUCCUCCCAAUUUGAUUUUAUGCUUGCAUAAAUGAUUUUUGGAUUCGGGACGAGUGGCGAACUGGUGAGUAACACGUGGGUAACCUGCCCUGAAGUAGGGGAUAACAUUUGGAAACAGAUGCUAAUACCGUAUAAUUAGUUGGAACCACAUGGUUCCAACUUGAAAGAUGGCUCUGCUAUCACUUUAGGAUGGACCCGCGGCGUAUUAGCUAGUUGGUGAGAUAAAAGCUYACCAAGGCGAUGAUACGUAGCCGACCUGAGAGGGUAAUCGGCCACAUUGGGACUGAGACACGGCCCAGACUCCUACGGGAGGCAGCAGUAGGGAAUCUUCCACAAUGGACGAAAGUGAAAGUCUGAUGGAGCAACGCCGCGUGAGUGAAGAAGGGUUUCGGCUCGUAAAACUCUGUUGUUAAAGAAGAACAAGUGUAAGAGUAACUGUUUACGCUUUGACGGUAUUUAACCAGAAAGCCACGGCUAACUACGUGCCAGCAGC
RNAcentral lists this ribosomal RNA (562 nucleotides) under Apilactobacillus micheneri. RNAcentral describes it as "bacterial SSU rRNA". Lineage: Bacteria; Bacillati; Bacillota; Bacilli; Lactobacillales; Lactobacillaceae. The record is from RNAcentral.